CAAGUCGAACGGUCCGCUUCGGCGGAUAGUGGCGCACGGGUGCGUAACACGUAUGCAACCUACCUUACAUUGGGGGAUAGCCUUUCGAAAGGGAGAUUAAUACCGCAUAAGACAGUAGCUGGGCAUCCAGUAGCUGUUAAAGAUUUAUCGAUGUAAGCUGGGCAUGCGUCCAAUUAGUUAGUUGGUGAGGUAACGGCUCACCAAGACGAUGAUUGGUAGGGGAACUGAGAGGUCAAUCCCCCACACUGGCACUGAGAUACGGGCCAGACUCCUACGGGAGGCAGCAGUAGGGAAUAUUGGGCAAUGGACGCAAGUCUGACCCAGCCAUGCCGCGUGCAGGAAGAAGGCGUUCUGCGUUGUAAACUGCUUUUAUAUAGGAAGAAACGACCCUUGCGAGGGGCAUUGACGGUAUUAUAUGAAUAAGCACCGGCUAACUCCGUGCCAGCAGCCGCGGUAAUACGGAGGGUGCAAGCGUUGUCCGGAUUUAUUGGGUUUAAAGGGUGCGCAGGUGGUUUAUUAAGUCAGUGGUGAAAGACGGUCGCUCAACGAUUGCAGUGCCAUUGAUACUGAUAGACUUGAGUAAAGUAGAGGUGGGCGGAAUUGAUAGUGUAGCGGUGAAAUGCAUAGAUAUUAUCAAGAACUCCGAUUGCGAAGGCAGCUCACUUGGCUUUUACUGACACUCAUGCACGAAAGUGUGGGUAUCAAACAGGAUUAGAUACCCUGGUAGUCCACACUGUAAACGAUGAUAACUAGGUGUUGGCCGAAUCUGGUCAGUACCACAGCGAAAGCGUUAAGUUAUCCACCUGGGGAGUACGCCGGCAACGGUGAAACUCAAAGGAAUUGACGGG
Molecule: ribosomal RNA, 848 nt
Filed under: uncultured bacterium
Lineage: Bacteria
Description: bacterial SSU rRNA
Rfam family: Bacterial small subunit ribosomal RNA
Source: RNAcentral